RNAcentral lists this transfer RNA (84 nucleotides) under Planctomycetota bacterium. RNAcentral's name for it is "Planctomycetes bacterium (rhizosphere metagenome) tRNA-Ser". It matches the Rfam family "tRNA". Rfam says of the family: Transfer RNA (tRNA) molecules are approximately 80 nucleotides in length. Their secondary structure includes four short double-helical elements and three loops (D, anti-codon, and T loops). Lineage: Bacteria; Pseudomonadati; Planctomycetota. The record is from RNAcentral.
GGAAGGGCAAGCCGAUGGGCGACGGCACCCGGCUACUACCCGGGCGAGCGCUGAGCCUUGAGGGUUCGACUCCCUCUCCUUCCG